UUGAACGCUGGCGGCAUGCUUUACACAUGCAAGUCGAACGGUAACAGGCCUUCGGGUGCUGACGAGUGGCGAACGGGUGAGUAAUGCAUCGGAACGUACCCAGAGGUGGGGGAUAACGCAGCGAAAGCUGUGCUAAUACCGCAUGUGAUCUGAGGAUGAAAGCGGGGGACCGAGCAGCAAUGUUUGGCCUCGCGCCUUUGGAGCGGCCGAUGUCGGAUUAGCUAGUUGGUGGGGUAAAGGCCUACCAAGGCGACGAUCCGUAGCUGGUCUGAGAGGACGACCAGCCACACUGGGACUGAGACACGGCCCAGACUCCUACGGGAGGCAGCAAUGGGGAAUUUUGGACAAUGGGCGCAAGCCUGAUCCAGCAAUGCCGCGUGCGGGAAGAAGGCCUUCGGGUUGUAAACCGCUUUUGGCAGGAACGAAACGGUGUCCGCUAAUACCGGGCGCUAAUGACGGUACCUGCAGAAUAAGCACCGGCUAACUACGUGC
RNAcentral lists this ribosomal RNA (492 nucleotides) under uncultured bacterium. Its description in RNAcentral is "partial 16S ribosomal RNA". It matches the Rfam family "Bacterial small subunit ribosomal RNA", at positions 29 to 508 of the family's 1533-position model. The record is from RNAcentral.